AAAGGAAAAUUGUUUAACGUUUCGAGCAAAGCACUUCUUCGGAAACAGAGGAAAGUCCAAUAGAAAAGGAAGAUGGAGGCAAAAAAAUCGACAACGAUUCUCAUGUAGGUACAUUUUGAAAAUGUAUAUAAUAAACUCAGA
Long non-coding RNA from Octopus sinensis (East Asian common octopus), 141 nucleotides. RefSeq lists it as uncharacterized. The transcript has 3 exons. Lineage: Eukaryota; Metazoa; Mollusca; Cephalopoda; Octopoda; Octopodidae. The record is from RefSeq and is a predicted model, not a curated record.